This 837-nucleotide ribosomal RNA is filed under the name uncultured bacterium. RNAcentral describes it as "bacterial SSU rRNA". It matches the Rfam family "Bacterial small subunit ribosomal RNA", at positions 30 to 888 of the family's 1533-position model. The record is from RNAcentral.
CGAACGCUGGCGGCGUGCUUAACACAUGCAAGUCGAGCGGAAAGGCCCUUAGGGGUACUCGAGCGGCGAACGGGUGAGUAACACGUGAGCAACCUGCCCCUGGCUCUGGGAUAGCUCCGGGAAACCGGGAUUAAUACCGGACAUGACCUGCUGCGGCAUCGCGGCGGGUGGAAAGUUUUUCGGCCAGGGAUGGGCUCGCGGCCUAUCAGCUUGUUGGUGGGGUAACGGCCUACCAAGGCGACGACGGGUAGCCGGCCUGAGAGGGCGACCGGCCACACUGGGACUGAGACACGGCCCAGACUCCUACGGGAGGCAGCAGUGGGGAAUAUUGCGCAAUGGGCGGAAGCCUGACGCAGCGACGCCGCGUGCGGGAUGAAGGCCUUCGGGUUGUAAACCGCUUUCAGCAGGGACGAAAAAGGACGGUACCUGCAGAAGAAGCGCCGGCUAACUACGUGCCAGCAGCCGCGGUAAUACGUAGGGCGCAAGCGUUGUCCGGAAUUAUUGGGCGUAAAGAGCUCGUAGGCGGCCUGUCGCGUCCGCUGUGAAAUCCCGGGGCUCAACCCCGGGCCUGCAGUGGAUACGGGCUGGCUGGAGGCAGGCAGGGGAGAACGGAAUUCCUGGUGUAGCGGUGAAAUGCGCAGAUAUCAGGAGGAACACCGGUGGCGAAGGCGGUUCUCUGGGCCUGUACUGACGCUGAGGAGCGAAAGCGUGGGGAGCGAACAGGAUUAGAUACCCUGGUAGUCCACGCCGUAAACGUUGGGCGCUAGGUGUGGGUCCCUUCCACGGGGUCUGUGCCGCAGCUAACGCAUUAAGCGCCCCGCCUGGGGAGUACGGCCG